UAACCGACCUGCCGCCAUCACGUGACCAGAAGUGAGCUGGACCAACAGAAUAUUUUGACGGACAUAACUCACCCGAGUCGAUAUUCCCGUCAUAUUUUGUUGUCUUAUACUCCAUAAUGACUCGCAAAAGUAAUUCCACUUUGCGUAAGUCUUAAAGAGCUUUCCAAAGCAGAAACGUCGGACUUGUAAUGGUUUGGUGUCACGUGGCUCUGCCCGCGUGCUUGUUCACAGCGCCGCACGUAGGUGUGCCUUGUGCAGUACAUUGUUUUCACGCAGCAUUCACUAAUCUGGUACAGUAUGGACGUGACUUUAGUUCAACCCGCCCAAAAAAAAGAAAAUCUCAGGACCGUUCCCAUGUGGACCGCAGGCCUCUCUGUAUGACUUCCUGGUACUCUCCAGGUACUCUUGCUUCUUCUCACAGUCUAAAAUAUGUACGUUAGGUUCUUUUAGUGGUCAUAUCAUGAGACAGCAUUGCUAACCAGUCAUUAGUUUUGAAUUAGUAACGGAAGUACUCCAUUAAUGUAUUUUGUUAAGCAACUAUUGCAUUCCCUUUUUUGAAAAACCUUCAAAAGUAUCAACGAAAUCGGAUUAUACCAAACCGCUAGGGAGCAGUGUUCUGUUCUUGAGCAACCAUAACGCUUAUUGACUAACUACUUGGUUUCCUUUGCUGUAGCGACAUCCACAUCUUUGAUAUAUUUAGUAGAUUUAUGGUUGUGAUGUUUGAAAUAGUAUUUAUUGCUCUAAGACGCGUCAAACUCUUUGGGGCGAUUCGCCCGAGGAAAUAAAUGUAACUUUGCGGCAGUGAUCAGGUUUGGCCACAAGACGGUGCCAAAUGCACACUUGCCGACAUGCUAUAUUUGCUAUAGUCUGAUCAUUUCUACGCGAAGAUUUUCAAAAUAAUUGACUGACUGCAAGUUUGCCUUCAAUUUUUAUGAUUUAAAAAAUGUUUCAUGAUGAUAAUCAGAAUAAAACACAGGACACAUUUGAGGCAUUUAAAAAAAUGUGUGGUCACACUUUCUUAGCGAUUGUGGCAGGUGCACUCGAUGAAAUAAUAACGCCGGUUGGCGGUGGAGCUUAUGGUGACAUGGGCGGAGUCACAAGAGUGGCCAAAUGAGUGAAGUGUCCAGGCGAGCGCGCUGAUCACAUUGCCAACAAGUUCAUACACUGUCUGCGCUUACGUGUAUUAAGUGGAUGUGUGCGCGCCGAGAUCAGAUGGAGGCCGCGGUUCUGAAGUCCAGCAUCGUUCCGGGGGUGCACUGCAACAGCAACCCAGUGAGCGGAGAUCUGCAGGUGACGAGGCUACAGGAGCUGGUGCUCAGGCUGGAGCUCCACAACGAACAGCUCCGCACGAGGGCUAGCGCGGGGGGUCGCUGCUGCCCGCCGGCCUCCCUGAGUCCACAGGAGGACGCCGGCGAGGAUCCCCGAAAGCGUGACGGAUCCGUGCUGUUGGUUCUAGACGAGGUGGAGCUGUUGGACGUGGACCUUCUUGGAUGCUCAGAUGAUGAAACAUGGUUGUACGUGUCCCCCAAAGCCAAAGAGUCAAAGGCGGAGAACACCCUAACCCCACUGCAGUGGUGCCGGCAAGUUUUGGAUGAUCCAGAUUGGGAUCUGAUGAAGCGUUCACUGUGCCUCAGGCUGAAGUCAGCAUCCGCAGCUUCCUGCGGGCGCAGACCAUUGGCCAACCCUGACUGCUCCCCCCAACACCUGAGCAGAGUUGCAGGCGUAUCCCCCAUUGGCACGCCCUGCUCCCCCCUUUGUUCCUCUGACACACAUGUGUCCUCGCCGCGUCCUCGUCAGAGUCCCGCGGGUAAGGCAAGGACUCCUACCUUCAUCCCACACCUCACCCGUGGCAGCAGCCUGCGGUGCCGGAGCCCUCGGCCACGCGUGGACCGUGACCUCAUCUCCCCAAGAGUGGGCGAGGAUGAGUCUGUCACCCACGGCUACAAACUGCAGGAUCUAACUGACGUGCAGGUGGUGGCGCGGCUGCAGGAGGAGAACCUCAGAGCUCAUCGCUACUUCAGCUUUAUUAACCCCACAAGGUGUGUGUGUGUGUGUGUGUGUGCGUGCGUGCGUGCGUGCGUGCGUGCGUGCGUGCGUGCGUGCGUGCGUGCGUGCGUGCGUGCGUGCGUGCGUGCGUGCGUGCGUGCGUGCGUGGCCGCCAUGCUGUGCCGUGCCAUUCCUCAUGUCUCGCUUGCCCAGGACUCAGACAGGACUACGCCAGCACGUCCUCCAUCCUGGCCACCCGACGCAGCCAGAGCAUCACCUUCCCACUCAGCGCCCGUCCCGACCCGGAGGAGGGAGACAAGGGGGCAGACGAAAACUUCAGUCCCUUGCCGCCUCAGCUCCACGUCUCCCCGCUGUCUCGCGGCCGCACCUUCUCCAGCGCCAAAGACUGGCGAAGAAGCAGCAGCUUCCUGUCCACCCCUCCUUCUGCCCCGCCUCACCCAUCCGCAGGGUUCGUCUACCACACGCCGCCUCGGCAGCAUCCGCCACCGGGAGGAGAUAAGAUGGGGAGGAGCUUGCCUAACCUCGCUGGAGCUCCUAGUAAUCCCAGCAUCCCUAGUGCUUCCUUGCUUCGUAACAGCCAGAGCUUUGAUUCUCCAGGUGGCAUCACUCGCCAGGAGUCUUCUAUGGCCUCCCCCAGCUUGCUGCACACCGGGGUCCAGAGUGUGGGGGGUGUCGGUGUUAAGGCCACCUCCUUUGUCAGCCCCACCAUCAAGGGCUCUGCCUCGGUGCCGACGUCGUUGUCGCUGGGUGGCAGGAGUGGGAUCCCUCUGCUAAGUAAACCAUCCUCCUCCUGUGUGUCAGCAUCACUUCACAGCAUCCUGUCUCCGCCCACCUGCUACGACGAUACCACAAGCCCCACACCUCGCGUCAAGGCGGCCCAAUCAGCGUGCAGUUUACUGACACCUCCGAGGAGCUUGUCGGCCUUCAGCAACCUCCAUGACCGCGCCUGGAGGGACAGCCGCUACUGACCGAAAGCGCCGACCAGACAUUUAAUGACUUCCUGCUGCUUUUGUGCAAAGAAACACAUUUUUAAACGACAAGUGUGAUGACUAAGUUUUGCCCUUUUAGCAUCAUGUGUGCCAUGCAAAAGCUGAAUGGAAUGUAUUUGCAUCAGUCAGGUUUAAUUAUAAUAACAUAAGGAAAUGUAAGUAAAUUAACUUUUAUUUGACAUGUUUCACAAGGGUUUGAAAAAACACAACACUGCAUUUUUUUAUGUUGCACGUUAAAAUCGAGAUAUUGUCCUGUGUGUUUGCUACAGCUUACACUUAAUGUCACAGUCAAGUAACACCCUUUGUUUUAUUUCUUUACGCACAUUGCACUUGUUUCUAUGAUGGACUAACUGAUCAUUUUAUUAAAAUAUAUUUUUAAUGCUCA
Molecule: RNA transcript, 3381 nt
Organism: Dunckerocampus dactyliophorus (ringed pipefish)
Lineage: Eukaryota; Metazoa; Chordata; Actinopteri; Syngnathiformes; Syngnathidae
Gene name: SLAIN motif-containing protein 1-like
Exons: 9
Source: RefSeq, a predicted model, not a curated record